Molecule: long non-coding RNA, 7999 nt
Filed under: Chlamydomonas reinhardtii
Lineage: Eukaryota; Viridiplantae; Chlorophyta; Chlorophyceae; Chlamydomonadales; Chlamydomonadaceae
Description: long non-coding RNA (CREI_LNC001185)
Source: RNAcentral
GCCGCCCUCCUUAAACGCCCGCCGCAGCUGCCGAAUGCGAAUGGCCGUACCCCCUUCCACAGCAGCGCUGGGGUCUUGCUGCUGCGUUUGUGUCAAGAGGUAACGUUUCGGUCCGAGGAACUCCACCGCCGCCUGCUGCCCGUCACUCAGCCGCACCACCGCAUCCACUGGCGCCAACACUCCUGGCGCGACAACGCCCGUCUGAAGGGACUGAACGGCUAGGCCCCCUGCUGCCUUGAGGCCCUGCUGCUCAAGCCGCCGCAGCGCUGCAACGACCUGCUUUUGAGUAUCUGAUGUGGGCUUGGCGUCUUCCCUCUCAGUAGUCACCGCCGCUGCCAUCGCCGCCUGCAGUCCGCUGCCGCUGCCCAGGGCCGCCGCCACCUCGCCGCCUAGCUCCUGCUGCGCCUGCCACAGCUGUUUGAGAUGCUCAGUUGUAAGACCCUCCCAACGGCUUACUGCUUCACGGGCCAGCUGAAUGGAUAGCUGCUUCAUGUCGGGAGAAUACGUGCCUCCGAACACAGCCAUGGCCCACAGGCUGUUGCAUACGUGCUGGUGCAGGACUGUGUCAGAGUCAUGCUGCAGCAGCUCGCCCAGCCGACCGCACACCGCCGCCUCCAAGCCAGCGUGCCGCAGCUGCAGCACCGCCAGCGCGUACAGCGUAUUGGCACAGUUCUGACCACCGGCACUACUGGCGCGCAUGGCUGCUACUGCUGCGCCCGAGUCAAGCAGCUCCGCCGGCGGCUGGUGGCGCAUCAACGCAAGCGCGUACAGCAGAUUGGACCAGGCCUGAGAUGUUGCGCGGGCCAUGGCGCCCGACUGCGUUGCUGCGUCCACCGCUGCUGAAACCCACUGCCGCUGCUCGGCCGGCGCCUCCGGGCCCGCCCCAAAUCCCAUCUUGGCUAGGGCCCACGCUGAGUUGCUGAGGUCCUGAGCGAUGUACCCGUCAAACCCCCGCCGCAUGUCCUCUUCGGCCACUGCCACCACCAGCUCUGCCUGCUCGCUGCAUAGCUGCAGCCCCUCCAGCGCCAGCAGGAUGUUGGAUAGCUGUUGCGGGAUAAAUGCUGCAGCGAGCUCCGGUUUCCGGAGCUGCUGCAGUGCCUCCCCGCACAGCGCCUCAACUGCUGACCGGUACUCUGGUCCUGUGCACCCCAGAGCUUUGAGAGCCCAUAGGCUGUUUGAAACAUCUUGCGGCUUGAAGCCGUGGCCCGCCACCGUUCUCAAGCGAGAAGCCACAGCUGCCGCCAAGGUCUGCAAGUGCGGAGAUGAGGUGGGGUCCCAGCCUGAGCCCCGCUGCUGCUGGUCUUGCUUGAGCUUGCCGAGCGCGUACAUGACAAUUGCGAGGUUCUGAGGUUCCGCCUUCCCAAGAACCUCAGGAUCCACUAGCCGCUCCAGCAGAGCUGCUGCAAGCUGAGCCUCCGUGCCGCCGCCGACCAAUCCAGCUUUGCCCAGCGCCCACAGCGGAAUGCUGCAGUUCUUUGCGUUGCGGAUGCGCGGCACGAGCGGCAGGUAGGCCGGCGCAAGCAUGCCGAUAAUGCUGCUGCGUGCUACAGCCGUUUGGCUUGCUCCAGCGCGCGACUCCAGCUGCGUUCAAAGCAGUUAUGAGGGACAUACAUGGGGUCAAGUGCUAUAUGCAUGUGUUUGUGCGUGUGCGUGAACAGGUGCGCAUGCAAGUCCUGUGUGGCCAUCUGCGUCGUGAGAACCGGAAGUCCGGGCCGAGAACGACAACAAUGGACUCGCCCUCCAUUCUGCACUUCAUUUCUGUGCCCAUUCCCACCUGCACGUAUUAGUCCUCCCUCUCACCUUGCCGCACAGGUUGAACGCCGCACACAUGGUAAUGAAGUCUUUUCGGCCCUCCCACACUGAUAGCCGCUGGCUGAUGAUUGCUUGCAGCUCCUCCAGAGUCCGACACACGGUCAUGUCAUCCGCGGGGUCACGCCCGCUGCCCCUGCUUCUGCCGCUGGCGCGGCUGCCAUCGCCUGCCCUGCCUCCGCCGCUUCCCCUACCCGCCGCCGCCUGCACUAUUGGCCGCCCGAGGCGGGAGCUACUGCUGCCGCAGAGCACUACCGCCGUCGAGACGCGCAGUGGGGAUGAGCUGCUACUGUUGAGUGCUGGGACAGAAGUAGCGGCGGCAGCGCGCGGUGAGCUGGGGCCGGUGUCGGCAGCGGUCCGAUGCAUGCCAUAAACGAACAGUCUUCUAAACGCGCACGCCGGUGGCGGUGCCUGGAGACGGGCUGAUAACGAUUGGCUACAGCCAUGUACGCUGUGCCUGUGCGCACCAGCGGGAGAGCCCGCGACGACGCGCAGGGCGAGCAUCUCGGGCCUCCUCACGGCGGCGACCUGAGCUAUAGCGACUCUAUCCGUCUACGUGUCUGAGCACUGCAAAUGCAUUAGGCUUGCAUUUGUGGGAGAAUAACGCAAGGAACGAAAGGUCAGGUGCGUGUAGGUCGCUGGGCCAAAGCCGCCUGAGUAGCUGUGGCUUGGUAUGGAUGAUAAAGCAACUGAAUCAAUUUGCCACCGGUGUUGAGGCGAGGGCGACCUGACCGCGAAAUACACGGCCCGAGGGCACGCCCCGUAUCAACACCCCUCGCGACCUCCAAACACGUGCACUGAACCGCGAAGCCCUCCCCCAAGCCUAUCGCGGCUGCUAUUCCCAUGUCCUCCUCCCCAACCAUUCUGCAUACAGGCUCUGGCGUGAGUCCCUGCCCGCGUCAUUUGACACCCGUCGACCACGACUGAGGUGCAACGCAUGUCGCUUACAAAUCCAACAUCCCGCCCGACACGAGAGGGGCAGAAACGGCGGGGCAGACGGCCAGCCUCUUGAACAUGAGCAUAGCAGUGCAAUAUCGCACAUUGGGUCCCCGCCUGCUUCACCUGGCCACCUUUGCUGAUUUGUCUGACAUCCCUGUCUACACACUUUUAUCCGCCCACGCUUGAGACGUCCUCCUCAGCGCGCAGGCUUCACGGUACCAACCGUGCGGUAUCAUCGCUACAUGAUGAGUGCACUGCCCCAACCAUUGAAGCAUCACAAGGUGCUUGCCUGCCGCCGCCGCCGCUGAUACGUACACGAUUGCUGCCACACAACCAACACAUCACACCCAACAAUCACAACAACAAAACAACUGAGACCCGCCGCCGUGCAACGCACACUGUACACGCCCCAGGGCCGAGAACACAACGCAACACAAGCACCUGACAUGCCUCAUCCAGGCAUGCGUCACUCAAUCGCCCACCGAGCCGACCUCGCACACGCCGUUCGUGAGCCCCUGCGGCUGACAUGCCCGGCCCUGCCCCCUUGGCACCGCAGCCCUGCCGCCUUGGCACCGCCGCCCAUUGCCCCACCCCCAUGCUGCGUGCCAUGUAAGAAUAAAGCCAGGUCCCCAUCAAGCCGCAGCAUAUAUCCCCGCCAAGCCACCAGACUCCUCUUGCCGCACGCUACCAACCACCACCAGCACAGGACCGGCACCUGCCUGUCCCCCUGUUUAGUUUGGGCUGAUAUUUACAACCCCCCACCCUCCCCUCCCCACCUUCCCCAUUGCCAACCUCGCCCACCGCGCCGACAUGCACGCCGGCACCUCGCUCGUGCCUCUCGAGGCCUCCCAUCUUCCGUAGCUAGAGAUCCCUGUCCACGAGUAUCCACUUGGGCUCCAGCCCACUCCUGAUGCACACGCCGGCAUUACCCAGGUCUGCAUGGUUUGCAUGCCUGCCUGUCUACCGUGCACGCACACCUGCCUAGCUACGCAGACCUACUACCGUCCUUUUUGACCCGCCUCCGCCGCCACCGCCGCCGUCUCCUCCCUCUGGCCGCCGUGCCGGCCGCGCCAGCAGCUGCUGUUGUGGGUUGCCGCCAGAGCCGCCGCCGCCCUUGUUGCUGUUGGUGGUGGUGGUUGCGGGCUGGUGUGGCGCGGCCGUAGUGACAGCCGCAGCGCCGCCCACGGCACCCGCUGUCACUGUUUCCACCGCCACCGCCGGCUGCUGCAGCCGGCGCAGCAGGUAGGCCUCCUGCUCGGAAGGAGUCAGGAAGUCCCAUUCCCAGUACGGCACUAGUAGGACGCCGCCCUCCUUAAACGCCCGCCGCAGCUGCCGAAUGCGAAUGGCCGUACCCCCUUCCACAGCAGCGCUGGGGUCUUGCUGCUGCGUUUGUGUCAAGAGGUAACGUUUCGGUCCGAGGAACUCCACCGCCGCCUGCUGCCCGUCACUCAGCCGCACCACCGCAUCCACUGGCGCCAACACUCCUGGCGCGACAACGCCCGUCUGAAGGGACUGAACGGCUAGGCCCCCUGCUGCCUUGAGGCCCUGCUGCUCAAGCCGCCGCAGCGCUGCAACGACCUGCUUUUGAGUAUCUGAUGUGGGCUUGGCGUCUUCCCUCUCAGUAGUCACCGCCGCUGCCAUCGCCGCCUGCAGUCCGCUGCCGCUGCCCAGGGCCGCCGCCACCUCGCCGCCUAGCUCCUGCUGCGCCUGCCACAGCUGUUUGAGAUGCUCAGUUGUAAGACCCUCCCAACGGCUUACUGCUUCACGGGCCAGCUGAAUGGAUAGCUGCUUCAUGUCGGGAGAAUACGUGCCUCCGAACACAGCCAUGGCCCACAGGCUGUUGCAUACGUGCUGGUGCAGGACUGUGUCAGAGUCAUGCUGCAGCAGCUCGCCCAGCCGACCGCACACCGCCGCCUCCAAGCCAGCGUGCCGCAGCUGCAGCACCGCCAGCGCGUACAGCGUAUUGGCACAGUUCUGACCACCGGCACUACUGGCGCGCAUGGCUGCUACUGCUGCGCCCGAGUCAAGCAGCUCCGCCGGCGGCUGGUGGCGCAUCAACGCAAGCGCGUACAGCAGAUUGGACCAGGCCUGAGAUGUUGCGCGGGCCAUGGCGCCCGACUGCGUUGCUGCGUCCACCGCUGCUGAAACCCACUGCCGCUGCUCGGCCGGCGCCUCCGGGCCCGCCCCAAAUCCCAUCUUGGCUAGGGCCCACGCUGAGUUGCUGAGGUCCUGAGCGAUGUACCCGUCAAACCCCCGCCGCACGUCCUCUGCGGCCACUGCCACCACCAGCUCUGCCUGCUCGCUGCAUAGCUGCAGCCCCUCCAGCGCCAGCAGGAUGUUGGAUAGCUGUUGCGGGAUAAAUGCUGCAGCGAGCUCCGGUUUCCGGAGCCGCUGCAGUGCCUCCCCGCACAGCGCCUCAACUGCUGACCGGUACUCUGGUCCUGUGCACCCCAGAGCUUUGAGAGCCCAUAGGCUGUUUGAAACAUCUUGCGGCUUGAAGCCGUGGCCCGCCACCGUUCUCAAGCGAGAAGCCACAGCUGCCGCCAAGGUCUGCAAGUGUGGCGAUGAGGUGGGGUCCCAGCCUGAGCCCCGCUGCUGCUGGUCUUGCUUGAGCUUGCCGAGCGCGUACAUGACAAUUGCGAGGUUCUGAGGUUCCGCCUUCCCAAGAACCUCAGGAUCCACUAGCCGCUCCAGCAGAGCUGCUGCAAGCUGAGCCUCCGUGCCGCCGCCGACCAAUCCAGCUUUGCCCAGCGCCCACAGCGGAAUGCUGCAGUUCUUUGCGUUGCGGAUGCGCGGCACGAGCGGCAGGUAGGCCGGCGCAAGCAUGCCGAUAAUGCUGCUGCGUGCUACAGCCGUUUGGCUUGCUCCAGCGCGCGACUCCAGCUGCGUUCAAAGCAGUUAUGAGGGACAUACAUGGGGUCAAGUGCUAUAUGCAUGUGUUUGUGCGUGUGCGUGAACAGGUGCGCAUGCAAGUCCUGUGUGGCCAUCUGCGUCGUGAGAACCGGAAGUCCGGGCCGAGAACGACAACAAUGGACUCGCCCUCCAUUCUGCACUUCAUUUCUGUGCCCAUUCCCACCUGCACGUAUUAGUCCUCCCUCUCACCUUGCCGCACAGGUUGAACGCCGCACACAUGGUAAUGAAGUCUUUUCGGCCCUCCCACACUGAUAGCCGCUGGCUGAUGAUUGCUUGCAGCUCCUCCAGAGUCCGACACACGGUCAUGUCAUCCGCGGGGUCACGCCCGCUGCCCCUGCUUCUGCCGCUGGCGCGGCUGCCAUCGCCUGCCCUGCCUCCGCCGCUUCCCCUACCCNNNNNNNNNNNNNNNNNNNNNNNNNNNNNNNNNNNNNNNNNNNNNNNNNNNNNNNNNNNNNNNNNNNNNNNNNNNNNNNNNNNNNNNNNNNNNNNNNNNNGAGAAUAACGCAAGGAACGAAAGGUCAGGUGCGUGUAGGUCGCUGGGCCAAAGCCGCCUGAGUAGCUGUGGCUUGGUAUGGAUGAUAAAGCAACUGAAUCAAUUUGCCACCGGUGUUGAGGCGAGGGCGACCUGACCGCGAAAUACACGGCCCGAGGGCACGCCCCGUAUCAACACCCCUCGCGACCUCCAAACACGUGCACUGAACCGCGAAGCCCUCCCCCAAGCCUAUCGCGGCUGCUAUUCCCAUGUCCUCCUCCCCAACCAUUCUGCAUACAGGCUCUGGCGUGAGUCCCUGCCCGCGUCAUUUGACACCCGUCGACCACGACUGAGGUGCAACGCAUGUCGCUUACAAAUCCAACAUCCCGCCCGACACGAGAGGGGCAGAAACGGCGGGGCAGACGGCCAGCCUCUUGAACAUGAGCAUAGCAGUGCAAUAUCGCACAUUGGGUCCCCGCCUGCUUCACCUGGCCACCUUUGCUGAUUUGUCUGACAUCCCUGUCUACACACUUUUAUCCGCCCACGCUUGAGACGUCCUCCUCAGCGCGCAGGCUUCACGGUACCAACCGUGCGGUAUCAUCGCUACAUGAUGAGUGCACUGCCCCAACCAUUGAAGCAUCACAAGGUGCUUGCCUGCCGCCGCCGCCGCUGAUACGUACACGAUUGCUGCCACACAACCAACACAUCACACCCAACAAUCACAACAACAAAACAACUGAGACCCGCCGCCGUGCAACGCACACUGUACACGCCCCAGGGCCGAGAACACAACGCAACACAAGCACCUGACAUGCCUCAUCCAGGCAUGCGUCACUCAAUCGCCCACCGAGCCGACCUCGCACACGCCGUUCGUGAGCCCCUGCGGCUGACAUGCCCGGCCCUGCCCCCUUGGCACCGCAGCCCUGCCGCCUUGGCACCGCCGCCCAUUGCCCCACCCCCAUGCUGCGUGCCAUGUAAGAAUAAAGCCAGGUCCCCAUCAAGCCGCAGCAUAUAUCCCCGCCAAGCCACCAGACUCCUCUUGCCGCACGCUACCAACCACCACCAGCACAGGACCGGCACCUGCCUGUCCCCCUGUUUAGUUUGGGCUGAUAUUUACAACCCCCCACCCUCCCCUCCCCACCUUCCCCAUUGCCAACCUCGCCCACCGCGCCGACAUGCACGCCGGCACCUCGCUCGUGCCUCUCGAGGCCUCCCAUCUUCCGUAGCUAGAGAUCCCUGUCCACGAGUAUCCACUUGGGCUCCAGCCCACUCCUGAUGCACACGCCGGCAUUACCCAGGUCUGCAUGGUUUGCAUGCCUGCCUGUCUACCGUGCACGCACACCUGCCUAGCUACGCAGACCUACUACCGUCCUUUUUGACCCGCCUCCGCCGCCACCGCCGCCGUCUCCUCCCUCUGGCCGCCGUGCCGGCCGCGCCAGCAGCUGCUGUUGUGGGUUGCCGCCAGAGCCGCCGCCGCCCUUGUUGCUGUUGGUGGUGGUGGUUGCGGGCUGGUGUGGCGCGGCCGUAGUGACAGCCGCAGCGCCGCCCACGGCACCCGCUGUCACUGUUUCCACCGCCACCGCCGGCUGCUGCAGCCGGCGCAGCAGGUAGGCCUCCUGCUCGGAAGGAGUCAGGAAGUCCCAUUCCCAGUACGGCACUAGUAGGACGCCGCCCUCCUUAAACGCCCGCCGCAGCUGCCGAAUGCGAAUGGCCGUACCCCCUUCCACAGCAGCGCUGGGGUCUUGCUGCUGCGUUUGUGUCAAGAGGUAACGUUUCGGUCCGAGGAACUCCACCGCCGCCUGCUGCCCGUCACUCAGCCGCACCACCGCAUCCACUGGCGCCAACACUCCUGGCGCGACAACGCCC